Molecule: long non-coding RNA, 964 nt
Filed under: Lepisosteus oculatus (spotted gar)
Lineage: Eukaryota; Metazoa; Chordata; Actinopteri; Semionotiformes; Lepisosteidae
Description: lncRNA (ENSLOCG00000022685.1)
Source: RNAcentral
UCUUCUGUUUGCCCCUCAGCACAGACCUGUCCACUCCACAGCAAACAACACCAGUCCUCUGCUCUGUCAAAUUACACAAAACCCUUUGUGGCAGAAAAGCAAUUGUGUAGUGGAGACACAACAGUGGUAACAAAUUCAUGAUGUGUGUUUCUCAAAACAAACAGUGUAAUGUUCCCUUUCUCAGCUGGGCCUUCAAUACUGUUUGACAGGAUGGGUUUGAUUGAGAGGGUCAAAUUAAUUUGACAAAAACAGAAUUUGUUUCAGGAAAUUUUGAUUUGUUUAAAGUAAAUGUGUUUUUAGUCCUUCCAUGAAUUCUUCCACUAGAAUAAUGGGGAUUUUUGACCUGGGGGUGUAAUUUAGGCUCUUUUUCUUUCAUGAAAGUUUUGUACAAACAAACUAGUUAUUUCUUUUCCAAGGUUUACUGAAAAUUAAAUAAUACAAGUAAAGGGCAAACAGUGAAAAUACUGAACAAUCUCUUACCAGAGAUCAUUACAAACCUGAAGACCUCAAGCCUUUUAUAAACAUUAAAGGAGGGAGUCGCACUGGAACAUUUUGUGGACAUGAUAACUACGCAGUAAUAACAUCUGAUUCAUUAUAAAUACGUGUUUUUUCAGUUGAACACAGGUGUAGAAGUUGUUGCUUCCAGCCUCAGAGCCUCUUCAGACUCCUGUUCUGUCUCAAGGUGUCCUGUUUCUCUGCAGCCUGAUGGCCUCCCAACACACAGACACCACUCCACAGCCAGAACCAGUUUCCUGUUUCCUUUCCAGUGUGGAGUCGAGACCUGCUUGUUCCUUGUGUUCCCUGUGAGCAGUGUUGUCUUGAGGUGAAUAAAGAGCAUGAGUGGGCAGUGUAGUGUCAGUGUGGGAGCCCAUCCUGUCUCAGGGUAUUGCAGUGUGAAGGUGGGACCUUGAUACUGGAAUCAGAGCUACUUGCAGCCUCUCCAGUCCACUGCAUUACAGUGUAG